This 5937-nucleotide ribosomal RNA is filed under the name Triticum aestivum (bread wheat). RNAcentral describes it as "partial small subunit ribosomal RNA". Lineage: Eukaryota; Viridiplantae; Streptophyta; Magnoliopsida; Poales; Poaceae. The record is from RNAcentral.
AGAAUAUCCAAAUCCACCGAAUAAUACCCGCAUCACAGAGGGAUCAUCCCGCGGCGUGGCGCCGUUGCUCCUCCGUGCCGUCCGUCUGCGGCGGUUGCGUGUCUAAAAAUAUUCAAAUUCUCCCUGCACCAAUCAACCUGCAAGUGGCAAAGCAGAGGCGAAAGAACAGAGGAGAAAGAGAAAAAAAAGAGGGGCUCCCAGCGUCCAAAUGGCGCUCCCGGCGACGACCCCGCGCGCGGCGGUGCGGUGUCCGAUCGCGGCGUGCGCGCCCACGCCCCCGGUGACGGCCGGAGGGAGGCCCCGGGAGCUGCCGUUCGCGCUGCUGGCGGAGCGGGGGAUGGUGGUGGGGGGUCACCGCGGGAUGGGGAUGAACGCGGUGGGGGCGCCGCCCGGGGCGCGCGUCGGGGCGGCGAGGGAGCGGGAGAACACGCUGCUCUCAUUCGGCCGCGCCGCCGAGCACGCCGCCGUCGCCUUCGUCGAGUUCGACGUCCAGCUUCAGGAGCGAAACUGAUUCCCGGUGUGGUUGAUUGAGCAAUGUGUGCUCUGCUCUAGUUGGUACAACCGUACAACUAAUUUUUUGGGAUCCUCGAGGACAAAUCCUUUUUGUGGAACUUGGAUGUGGUAAUCGUAUGGACAUGACGCCAUACGCAUGCUAGUUUCUCUCUCUGAAGUAACCAAGCACUAGCAGCACACGCGUGGAGUGACAUUGAUCCAUCUGUGUUCCGAUGUAAUAUGCAAUGCUGUUAUAUUGUAGCCUGCAAGCUAAUCACAUGAAACAAGAAGCUACUGCUUAGAUGCAAAUGACCAGACUAGGUACAGCAGCCACGUUGUGAGGGUGAUUGGGGUUGAUGUUCUCUAGUGCUCAAGUGUUGCAUGGCAAGCUCCUGGAUCCUGAGUUGCAGUUGUACUUGGUGUCAUCUGUUGUCAUUAAUCCACUACAAGGAGUCAUUCGCAGACCAAAGCAUCAGCGGAAUCGGCAAUGGCAACCAUAGGGAGAAUACAUGUUACAAAAGAUGGCUGCCCAGUUAUCUUCCACGAUGAUUUUAUCCUCACCCAAAAAACUGAGGUUUUGUAUGAAAGGCGCGUGACCGAUCUUCUUCUGGACGAAUUCCUUUCAUAUGGGGUACAAAAAGAGCCGCACAAGGUCUCCAAGCCCCUACUUAGACGGAUGGAAGAUGGCAGAGUCCUUGCUUGGAGCACCGAAGAAGAUGAUUAUCUCUGCACAUUGCAGGAAGUCUUCGAACAUGUCAGUCCCCAUCUGGGAUUUAACAUCGAACUAAAGUUUGAUGACAACAUUAUCUAUCCGGGCGUCAACCUUAACCGUGCUCUUCAAGCUGUACUGCAAGUUGUUUUUCAGUAUGCUGGCAACAGACCACUCUUUUUCUCAACAUUCCAACCUGAUGCCGCACGGAUAACACGUGAACUCCAAAGUGUAUACCCUGUACUGUUCUUAACAGAAGGGGGAACAGCCAAACACGAUGAUAGGAGAAGGAACUCACUCGACAAUGCUAUCCAAGUGUGCCAAGAGUAUGACUUGCAUGGGGUUGUGUCAGAAGUCAGAGGAGUUCUAAAAAAUCCCUCUGCGAUCCUAAAAGCACAAGAAUCCAACCUUGCUAUUCUCACCUAUGGGCAGCUCAAUAAUGUGCGGGAGGCUGUUUACAUCCAGUAUCUAAUGGGUGUGAAUGGUGUCAUUGUUGAUCUAGUGGAGGAGAUAUCCAAUGCUGUUGCAGAUUUCAGUAAACCAGACCUCGGCCAGAGCACAUUCAGUAACAGUGUUGACAUAUGCAGAAAACAUGAGUCGUUCUCACAGCAGCAGCUGGGGUUCCUGCUCCGGCUUAUACCUGAACUGAUUCAGCAACCACACUAAAGAUAGAUAGUAGCCAAGAUUGUCCCGGUUUUGAAGCAAGCUGAGGAUUUCAUGCUCUGUUGACAUUUCUGACAGUUGUAUUUAACACUAGUCUAGAAGGUACUCCCUCUGUAAAGAAAUAUAAGAUCGUUUAGAUCACUACUUGAGAUGUUUAAAACAUAGAUGAUCUAUACAAUAAAGAUAGUCAAAUCACCCGGCAAACUAUUAUGUAUGAUUGACCAAUCCUGUUGCAACUAUGUGCAUAACAACUUUGUUAACGAUAAGAACAGCAAUCCAUGGCCAGAACGUUUUGAAAGCUUACUGGAUCGUAAUCUGUUUGAAUAUAGCAAGUUCUUUUUUUCAGACAAAGGGUGGGUUUUAGAGCGAGUUUUUUUUGGGCGGAAUUAGAGCAAGUUAAAUUAGAUUAAAGAAAAACCUGGAGUGGUGUGGCACCCAUGUUUCUUGUGUAGAGGCCAUCAGGGAACCCCAGCUGCUGCUGUGAGAAGGACUCAUGUUUUCUGCCUAUGUUCGCUGUUACUGAACGUGCUCUGGCCGAGGUCUGGUUUACUGAGAUCUGCAACAGCAUUGGAGAUCUCCACUAGAUCAACAAUGGCGCCAUUCACACCCAUUAGAUACUGGACGUAAACAGCCCCCCGCACAUUACUUUUCUUUUUAGAAAAGGAGGAUAAGGAUUACCCCCGGCCUCUGCAUCUGGGCGAUGCAUGCAGCCAUUUUAUUAAUUAUUCACAAAGACCUUACAAAGUGGUACAUCAGGUAGUCUGAAGCCACCAUCCUAGCAACAUCUGUCGCUACUCGUAUCCCUGCACAUUAUUGCAUAUGCAACCAAUAAAUCCAGGAACUCCACAACGGGUGGGGUUGAGAUCGAGACUUGGCCUACGUGAAAGAAACUAUCUGAACAUGCUCUGAUGUCCGUGUGCAGGACAUUGCUUGCUCAGACUAGUAGUAGUUGCAUGGCAUCCUUUUGGAUCGUAAUAGCUCUCUUCUCUUAAGCCCUAAGUAACAACUAGACAUGCAUGGGUCCUCCUUCUGCCUGCAGAAUAACGAGAAUUAUUUGCACAUGGUGCAUUGCUUACCGAUCUGAACAGAACCGAAUGACUGACGCGCCACCAACCCUUCCAAUUCAAGAAAUCCGUCUUUCAUGUGGCCCUUCUCCAUCUAUACAUACCUGGACAGGCAAAAUGCCAUCCUGCAGGUGACUCACUUUGACAUCCUUUUCUGAAAGAAAGGUGACCCAAUUCGUGCAUGAUUAGUCAGCAGAAACACAAAGCAGAUGCACUUAUUUUUCCUCUCCUCUCCUCCUGACCCAUUAAAGAAAGACAAGGCUUCCCCUCCUCUUCCUUGAGGAGGAGCCUCACAACAGCUGACCUAGGUAGGACAACCCAUCACCGUCUGCCCAAUCUGUUUUGCUUAGUCUGGCUCUGCCCAGAUUAUACUACAUAUAAAACCCUUGGCGACCCGAAUGUCGGCGACCUAACCGCGCUCCCAUUGGCGGGCGACAGAGGGAGGAAGGAGGGGUUUCCCUUCCCUUGUGACAAAGGCAUCGCCCUGAUUUGUCAUAGUAGCGAUCUUGCCUGGAUCCUUGAUGCGGUCCGGUCUUGGCUCCUUUCAGCUCUCAAUCAAUAAUUUACUAGUACCAGCCAUUAGGGUAUCGUGUGACCCAUGUAGAUAGAUUAUAGAUUGGGUCAGAGUUGCUUCGUGGACAAGGUCACCAGACAGAUUAGUCAGAGGCAUGCACCCCCACUCCAAAGGCAUUGACACUGCAGGAAAGCAACCUCAAAAGGGACCUGUGUAGGUGUGGUGCAAAUGUGGUGCAUCACGCUUUUUUGGACAGAAAAAAAUGGCACACGUCCAUAGCUUUAUUUAGCUUUCACUUCAAUUCUCAUGUUCACAUUGCUACUGUACUGUUAUACUCCUCGUAUUGUACUCCUUGUGGACGGCUGAUCUGGAUCAGAUCUGGUGUUGCGAAAAAAGACAUGGCGCACAGUAUCGGGAACGUAGUACGCUCAACAGAGUAAAAACGGUUGUCACUCUUUCUUUCUGAACCUUUUGGUUCUUGGGAUCUUUGUUCUGCUCAAGGAACUUGGUAUAUAAAGGUAUUUUUCAUGGUGUGGUGCAAAUGUGAUUCAUCAUGCUUUGAAGAAAGAGGGUACGUAACUUUCGCUAACGGGCGGUUAACAGUUUCAAUGUUCACAUUGCUAGUUGUGAUGUAGAAUCUUCGAGCUGUUGCAUCGCACUGUCAGUUUUCACGUUUAAAGGCUUUGGUUAUCAGAGAAAUGCUGAAGGUUUCUUGCUCUUCCUAUGAUUGGUCUUUACCUAACUGCUGACGGGUAGCUUGCUUGCCUGCUUAUUCUCUGCAAGGAUCUCAAGGAUUGCUUUUUGUUCAAGGAAAAAGUGACAUCACAUAUCACUAAGUUUGAUUGGACUUGAUGAAACGACCGCCUCCUAAUUCAUUAACAGCACAAGAUCUCAAUCCAGAUGUUCUCACUAGUCCAACCUUUAAGGCAUCCAAAACAUGCCAACUGAAAAUCUGGGCAUGGGAUUAUGUGUUGUUGAAGCCAUACCGGCGACGACAAAUCAACGGAAAACAUAUUAUCAAUGGAAAACAAAUCAUGUGUUGUCAACGAUGGUCAAAUUAUAGGUUCUCCAGACAAAUAUGGCCUAGUCUCCGGCUGAAGGGCUGAUGGUGACAUGUUGCUUGCCCAGGUCAACCUCGGCCCAACCCUGUCCCCUUUUGCAAACUUUUUUUAAUGUUCAAACAGAAUUUGAAGAUAUUCAUACAUCAUGUAAAUUUCAGUUCGUAAAGUUUCCUGUUAUUCGCAGUUACUAUUUGUGUUUUUUUUUGGCGGGGCGCAGUUACUAUUUGUUUAUGAAAUGAAAAAUCAGGUGACAUCCCUAAAACAGUUAAAUUCUUUGUUUCUGUGAUAUGUUCAAAGAUAUUCAUAUGACAGACAUGGUUUGGAACAAUAUUCUCCAGUUGGCCAUGAGAAGAUUGUUGUUUGCAUGUUCUGCAUAGAAACAUCUCAGAUAAGGUAGGCAAAGAAGACUACAGUAUCUUAAGCAUAAUUUUAAGCAAUCUGACUCAACUGCAAGGUAUCUUUUUAUGCAUAGGCUGAAAAAGCACCCCCUUUAAAAGCAUUUGACCAAUGUUUUCAACUAUGUGCAGGAACAGGCGAAUGAGUUUACCUCCUGCGUGAAGGAAAAGGCUGCCUUUCCCAAACUUCAAUCCUAAUUAGCUAAGCUCUAGGUUGACAUGACACUGCAUGGUAUCUUGGCAAGUAUUUAUUCCCUUCUCCUCUAUUUUUCCUUUAAUUGUUUGUUAAUUAUUUUCCUUGUAAAAAAUUUCACACUGUCGACGCAAACGUUUGGCUCCUGGGUCGAUUGUUCUACCCACGUAUGAAUUUUCAUGAAGAAAUGACAUCCGUAGUGUUCUGGACAAAAAAAAGAACAAAUUGGUGCUCUAAAAAGCCCAUUUUUGACCCUAAACAAAUUCAGAUUUUAGUGUUCAUUCGGUUGCAUGUGGAACCAUGUCAAGGAUAGCAUUUUCGUUCACUCUGCGCCCUAAAUGAGUUAUUUUUUCAUUGUAUGUGUUUUGGGCUAGACUAGAUGGGUUGCAAGGCACUAGCCAGUUUGGUACUGAAGUGGAUACAUACCCUUUGCCUCUUCAAGCACACAAGCAGAUCAAAUAACAUAAGAUUAGCUUACUUUAUGAUGCUGCAAGCUAAGUGGUAGCUUGUCCUGUUGUAUAAUUGACUGCACAAUAUCAAUAUUGAUGGCUUGAAGGGACUAAUAAAUUCCAACAGGUGUGAUUGGUUAGUUAGGUAGCUUAAAACACUGCUUAAAGUCAUGAUCAGCCAAGAAAAUAAGCCAUCUAGGUCUAUUUUGUAAAAGCAGAAUGCCAAUCACAUCCAGUAUGUGCCUUACAACUGUCCUAGACUCCAGCCUGAGCGACUGCAACUCUAACUAUUACUUAAUCAUGCAAAAGCAAGACACCAAGUCCUGAUCAUGUAGGUCAUGACAUAUGCUUGCACAUAAGCAGUUGCUUGCUGGAAUUUUUUGUUCGACGGACGGCA